AUUGAACGCUGGCGGCAUGCUUUACACAUGCAAGUCGAACGGUAACAGGUUAAGCUGACGAGUGGCGAACGGGUGAGUAAUGCAUCGGAACGUGCCCGAUCGUGGGGGAUAACGCAGCGAAAGCUGCGCUAAUACCGCAUACGAUCUGAGGAUGAAAGCGGGGGACCGUAAGGCCUCGCGCGAUCGGAGCGGCCGAUGUCAGAUUAGGUAGUUGGUGGGUAAAGGCUCACCAAGCCGACGAUCUGUAGCUGGUCUGAGAGGACGACCAGCCACACUGGGACUGAGACACGGCCCAGACUCCUACGGGAGGCAGCAGUGGGGAAUUUUGGACAAUGGGCGCAAGCCUGAUCCAGCAAUGCCGCGUGCAGGAAGAAGGCCUUCGGGUUGUAAACUGCUUUUGUUACGGAGCGAAAAGGCUCUCUCUAAUACAGGGGUUCAUGACGGUACCGUAAGAAUAAGCACCGGCUAACUACGUGCCAGCAGCCGG
This 487-nucleotide ribosomal RNA is filed under the name uncultured bacterium. RNAcentral describes it as "bacterial SSU rRNA". It matches the Rfam family "Bacterial small subunit ribosomal RNA", at positions 30 to 518 of the family's 1533-position model. The record is from RNAcentral.